UACGAAGGGUGCAAACGUUGCUCGGAAUUAUUGGGCGUAAAGCGCACGUAGGCGGCUUGGCAAGUCGGGAUGUGAAAUCCCUCGGCUCAACCAAGGAAGUGCAUCCGAAACUGCUGAGCUUGAGUACGAAAGAGGAUCGCGGAAUUCCCGGUGUAGAGGUGAAAUUCGUAGAUAUCGGGAGGAACACCAGUGGCGAAGGCGGCGAUCUGGGAAGAUACUGACGCUGAGGUGCGAAAGCGUGGGGAGCAAACAGG
Molecule: ribosomal RNA, 254 nt
Filed under: uncultured bacterium
Lineage: Bacteria
Description: partial 16S ribosomal RNA
Rfam family: Bacterial small subunit ribosomal RNA
Source: RNAcentral